Molecule: ribosomal RNA, 780 nt
Filed under: Coelopogon epiphorellus
Lineage: Eukaryota; Fungi; Ascomycota; Lecanoromycetes; Lecanorales; Parmeliaceae
Description: eukaryotic LSU rRNA
Rfam family: Eukaryotic large subunit ribosomal RNA
Source: RNAcentral
UUCGGGCGAGACCACGGUCUAAGUUCAUUGGAACAUGGCGUCAUAGAGGGUGAGAAUCCCGUAUGUGACUGUGGAUCGAGCCCAUGUGAAGCCUCUUCGACGAGUCGAGUUGUUUGGGAAUGCAGCUCAAAAUGGGUGGUAAAUUUCAUCUAAAGCUAAAUACUGGCUGGAGACCGAUAGCGCACAAGUAGAGUGAUCGAAAGAUGAAAAGCACUUUGGAAAGAGAGUCAAACAGUACGUGAAAUUGUUGAAAGGGAAGCGCUCGCAACCAGACCUGUCCGUAGGUGAUCAGCCGCUGUUCUCAGUGGUGCACUCGCUCUGCGAUCAGGCCAGCAUCGGUUCCGGCGGCCGGAUAAAGGCCUUGGGAAUGUAGCUCCCCUCGGGGAGUCUUAUAGCCCUCGGUGCAAUGCGGCCAGCCGGGACCGAGGACCGCGCUUCGGCUAGGAUGCUGGCGUAAUGGUUGUGAGCGACCCGUCUUGAAACACGGACCAAGGAGUCUAACAUCUAUGCGAGUGUUUGGGUGUCAAACCCAUGCGCGGAAUGAAAGUGAACGGAGGUGAGAACCCUGAAGGGCGCAUCAUCGACCGAUCCAGAUGUCUUCGGAUGGAUUUGAGUAUGAGCAUAGCUGUUGGGACCCGAAAGAUGGUGAACUAUGCCUGAAUAGGGUGAAGCCAGAGGAAACUCUGGUGGAGGCUCGCAGCGGUUCUGACGUGCAAAUCGAUCGUCAAAUUUGGGUAUAGGGGCGAAAGACUAAUCGAACCAUCUAGUAGCUGGUUCCUG